ACUCCUACGGGAGGCAGCAGUGGGGAAUUUUGCGCAAUGGGGGCAACCCUGACGCAGCAACGCCGCGUGAGUGAUGAAGGCCUUUGGGUCGUAAAGCUCUGUCAGAGGGAAAGAAAUGUGGGUGGUUAAUAACCAUUCCACUUGACGGUACCCUCAAAGGAAGGCACCGGCUAACUCCGUGCCAGCAGCCGCGGUAAU
Molecule: ribosomal RNA, 198 nt
Filed under: uncultured Geobacter sp.
Lineage: Bacteria; Pseudomonadati; Thermodesulfobacteriota; Desulfuromonadia; Geobacterales; Geobacteraceae
Description: partial 16S ribosomal RNA
Rfam family: Bacterial small subunit ribosomal RNA
Source: RNAcentral